GAUGAAGAACGCAGUGAAACGCGAUAUGUAAUGUGAAUUGCAGAAUUCAGUGAAUCAUCGAAUCAUUGAACGCACAUGGCGCCUUCCAGUAUCCUGGGAGGCAUGCCUGUCCGAGCGUCGUUUCAACCCUCGAGCCCCCGUGGCCCGGCGUUGGGGAUCUGCCCAGGCAGUCCCCGAAAACCAGUGGCGGACCCGUUACAGGCCCUUCCCUUGCGUAGUAGCAUUCGCCUCGCAUCGGGAGCCGGCGGGCUUCCAGCCUCUAAACCCCCAUCAAGUCCGCCCCGGCGGCACCAAGGUUGACCUCGGAUCAGGUAGGAAUACCCGCUGAACUUAAGCAUAUCAAUAAGCGGAGGA
This 354-nucleotide unclassified non-coding RNA is filed under the name soil metagenome. RNAcentral describes it as "partial contains 5.8S ribosomal RNA, internal transcribed spacer 2, and large subunit ribosomal RNA". The stretch from base 1 to 120 matches the Rfam family "5.8S ribosomal RNA", at positions 35 to 154 of the family's 154-position model. The record is from RNAcentral.